GGCUGUGUGGCUCAGUAUGGUCUAGAGCGCCUCCCUGUCACGGAGGAGAACGAGGGUUCAAAUCCCUUCACGGUCGC
RNAcentral lists this transfer RNA (77 nucleotides) under Microbacterium phage Big4. RNAcentral's name for it is "tRNA-Asp". It matches the Rfam family "tRNA". From Rfam's summary of the family: Transfer RNA (tRNA) molecules are approximately 80 nucleotides in length. Their secondary structure includes four short double-helical elements and three loops (D, anti-codon, and T loops). The record is from RNAcentral. Lineage: Duplodnaviria; Heunggongvirae; Uroviricota; Caudoviricetes.